UGAAUUCUCUCCCCCAAUGCCACAGACCUGAGGGCACGUGACCCAGGAAUGUGCAUCCAAAGAUAAUACUACCUUCAGAGAACUCUACUUAUAGUGGUGAAAUUGAGUCACUGCAGCAGCUGAGGCAGAGAGCUUUUCCUUCAGGAUUCACGGCCUAUUUCUCAGUUCUGGGAAAACAACUCUAACAACUCAACAGAGUGAAGAGAGAUAAAGAUGUUGGGAAUGACUGAUUUCAAACAAUCAAAACUGCUUUGGGGAUGAGGAUGAAGUUGGGACAUUACUGCCUUGUAUACCACAUACUAUAAUAUUUAUUAUGUCUAUUGUUUAUUGUAUGUGUCCUUCUUUAGAAUUUUAACUCCCCAAGGGCAAAGAUCCCUGACUGUUUUGUUUAUCAAUGUAUCCAAAAGGCCUAAAACAGAGCCUCGUACCUUAUACACACUCUGCAAAUAUUUGCUGAAUUGAAUAAAAGGCUGCCGAUCUAUAAA
This 485-nucleotide long non-coding RNA is filed under the name Pongo abelii (Sumatran orangutan). Its description in RNAcentral is "lincRNA". Lineage: Eukaryota; Metazoa; Chordata; Mammalia; Primates; Hominidae. The record is from RNAcentral.